This is a non-coding RNA of Pelobates cultripes (western spadefoot toad), 241 nucleotides long. Lineage: Eukaryota; Metazoa; Chordata; Amphibia; Anura; Pelobatidae. The record is from the annotation of a GenBank genome assembly.
CAGUAAUUCAAAGGGCUGGUCGUUUGGAACGCAUGGGUCCGGUCUUGGAACGCAACGUCAGUGGUUGUGACGUGCGUGGUUACUCGCCGCCGGAAAUGCACAUGUGGAACGCAACCAGAAGUUGUGAUUUGGAACGCAUAAUAUUACCGGACGGACUAUCAGCUGUUUUUUAGCCGCGAAUUUGAAGGUGGCGAUCAUCUGGAAAAUAUUUACUCUAUUGAAGAGGGGCCGCCUAUGAAGG